Molecule: ribosomal RNA, 497 nt
Filed under: uncultured bacterium
Lineage: Bacteria
Description: partial 16S ribosomal RNA
Rfam family: Bacterial small subunit ribosomal RNA
Source: RNAcentral
GAUGAACGCCGGCGGCGUGCCUAAUACAUGCAAGUCGAGCGAACAGACGAGGAGCUUGCUCCUCUGACGUUAGCGGCGGACGGGUGAGUAACACGUGGAUAACCUACCUAUAAGACUGGGAUAACUUCGGGAAACCGGAGCUAAUACCGGAUAAUAUAUUGAACCGCAUGGUUCAAUAGUGAAAGACGGUUUUGCUGUCACUUAUAGAUGGAUCCGCGCCGCAUUAGCUAGUUGGUAAGGUAACGGCUUACCAAGGCAACGAUGCGUAGCCGACCUGAGAGGGUGAUCGGCCACACUGGAACUGAGACACGGUCCAGACUCCUACGGGAGGCAGCAGUAGGGAAUCUUCCGCAAUGGGCGAAAGCCUGACGGAGCAACGCCGCGUGAGUGAUGAAGGUCUUCGGAUCGUAAAACUCUGUUAUUAGGGAAGAACAAAUGUGUAAGUAACUAUGCACGUCUUGACGGUACCUAAUCAGAAAGCCACGGCUAACCACGUG